This 254-nucleotide ribosomal RNA is filed under the name uncultured bacterium. RNAcentral's name for it is "partial 16S ribosomal RNA". It matches the Rfam family "Bacterial small subunit ribosomal RNA", at positions 524 to 776 of the family's 1533-position model. The record is from RNAcentral.
UACGGAGGGUGCAAGCGUUGUCCGGAAUCAUUGGGCGUAAAGCGCACGUAGGCGGCUCUUUAAGUCUCUUGGUGAAAGGCUGGGGCUCAACCCCAUGCAUGCCGGGGAUACUGGAGGGCUGGAGACAGGUAGAGGCCAGCGGAAUUCCGGGUGUAGCGGUGGAAUGCGUAGAGAUCCGGAAGAACACCGGAGGCGAAGGCGGCUGGCUGGACCUGAUCUGACGCUGAGGUGCGAAAGCGUGGGGAGCGAACAGG